CCAGACUCCUACGGGAGGCAGCAGUGGGGAAUAUUGCACAAUGGGGGAAACCCUGAUGCAGCGACGCCGCGUGAGUGAAGAAGUCAUUCGUGAUGUAAAGCUCUAUCAGCAGGGAAGAAAAUGACGGUACCUGACCAAGAAGCCCCGGCUAACUACGUGCCAGCAGCCGCGGUAAUACGUAGGGGGCAAGCGUUAUCCGGAUUUACUGGGUGUAAAGGGAGCGUAGGUGGCAGGGCAAGUCAGAUGUGAAAACCCGGGGCUCAACUCCGGGAUUGCAUUUGAAACUGUCCGGCUGGAGUGCAGGAGAGGUAAGUGGAAUUCCUAGUGUAGCGGUGAAAUGCAUAGAUAUUAGGAGGAACCCCAGUGGCGAAGGCGGCUUACUGGACUGUAACUGACACUGAGGCUCGAAAGCGUGGGGAGCAAACAGGAUUAGAUACCCCAGUAAC
Molecule: ribosomal RNA, 446 nt
Filed under: uncultured bacterium
Lineage: Bacteria
Description: bacterial SSU rRNA
Rfam family: Bacterial small subunit ribosomal RNA
Source: RNAcentral